RNAcentral lists this ribosomal RNA (474 nucleotides) under Pyramimonas sp. RCC5249. Its description in RNAcentral is "SSU rRNA". It matches the Rfam family "Eukaryotic small subunit ribosomal RNA", at positions 642 to 1120 of the family's 1831-position model. The record is from RNAcentral. Lineage: Eukaryota; Viridiplantae; Chlorophyta; Pyramimonadophyceae; Pyramimonadales; Pyramimonadaceae.
CGGAUGGGUUUGACCGGUCCGCCGUUUCGGUGUGCACUGGUCGUACCUAUCUUGCUGUCGGGGACGCGCUUCUGGCCUUAAUUGGCUGGGACGCGGAGUCGGCGAUGUUACUUUGAAAAAAUUAGAGUGUUCAAAGCAGGCCUAAGCUCUGAAUACAUUAGCAUGGAAUAACGCUAUAGGACUCUGGUCUUAUUGCGUUGGUCUUCGAGACCGGAGUAAUGAUUAAGAGGGACAGUUGGGGGCAUUCGUAUUUCAUUGUCAGAGGUGAAAUUCUUGGAUUUAUGAAAGACGAACUUCUGCGAAAGCAUUUGCCAAGGAUGUUUUCAUUAAUCAAGAACGAAAGUUGGGGGCUCGAAGACGAUCAGAUACCGUCCUAGUCUCAACCAUAAACGAUGCCGACUAGGGAUUGGCGGAUGUUAAUUCGAUGACUUCGCCAGCACCUUAUGAGAAAUCAAAGUUUUUGGGUUCCGGGGG